GAUGAACGCUGGCGGCGUGCUUAACACAUGCAAGUCGAGCGAGAAGUUUUGAAAAGAUUCUUCGGAUGCAAUUUAAAAUGGAAAGCGGCGGACGGGUGAGUAACGCGUAGGCAACCUGCCCCAUACAAAGGGAUAGCAUUUGGAAACGAAUAUUAAUACCUUAUGAAACUUAACUAGUGCAUGCUAGGUAGGUCAAAGAUUUAUCGGUAUGGGAUGGGCCUGCGUCUGAUUAGCUAGUUGGUGAGGUAACGGCUCACCAAGGCGACGAUCAGUAGCCGACCUGAGAGGGUGAACGGCCACAUUGGAACUGAGACACGGUCCAAACUCCUACGGGAGGCAGCAGUGGGGAAUAUUGCACAAUGGGGGAAACCCUGAUGCAGCAACGCCGCGUGAACGAUGAAGGCCUUUGGGUCGGAAAGUUCUGUUCUAGGUGAUGAAAACUGACAGUAACCUAGGAGAAAGCCCCGGCUAACUCCGUG
This 479-nucleotide ribosomal RNA is filed under the name uncultured bacterium. Its description in RNAcentral is "partial 16S ribosomal RNA". It matches the Rfam family "Bacterial small subunit ribosomal RNA", at positions 28 to 507 of the family's 1533-position model. The record is from RNAcentral.